GUGCUCGCUUCAGCAGCACAUACACUAAAAUUGGAAUGAUACAGAGAAAAUUAGCAUGGCCCCUGUGUGUGCAAAUUUGUGAAGCAUUCCAUAUUUCA
This 98-nucleotide small nuclear RNA is filed under the name Chinchilla lanigera (long-tailed chinchilla). Lineage: Eukaryota; Metazoa; Chordata; Mammalia; Rodentia; Chinchillidae. The record is from RNAcentral.